RNAcentral lists this long non-coding RNA (1000 nucleotides) under Apteryx rowi (Okarito brown kiwi). RNAcentral's name for it is "lncRNA (ENSARWG00000013552.1)". Lineage: Eukaryota; Metazoa; Chordata; Aves; Apterygiformes; Apterygidae. The record is from RNAcentral.
ACAAAGACAUCCAGGAGGAUCUCACUGAAGUACAUAAGUCUUUGAUUGCUUGAUUUUCUUGGAUGCAAAGGAGAAUUUUCCCUUCCAGCAAUGAAGCCAGUAUUCCCCAAGUGCUGCAUGCAGUUUAGAAGAGCUUUAGAGAUCUCUUAGAGAUGUUUUACACACUGUGGGCUUGGCAGGCUUCUCAUUAUAAUCAUGCAAAUCUCUCUGUACUGUUUCAGCAAUGCCUCCUGGACCGGUUGUGAUCAUCUCUCAGGGUGGCAUCUUAUUUGUGCAUGCCUGAGCCUUGGUGUCUGCCAGACACACUAAAUGUGGUUAACUGCAAAGAAACUCACUGUUCUCUCACAUUUACCGUUUAUCACAAGGCCAGCAAGGUGAACUAUCUACAGGAGCUGCACGGGGACAAGUUUAGUGCCCAACAUCUUCAGAAUAACAGUACUGGAAGCAGCUGAAGGCAGGAGAAUUAACAAGUGGUGGGAGACGUAAGACCAAUUUUAGGAGCUCCAGGCUUGUUCCUUAGUUCUUAAGAAAUGUUUGAAAGAUGACUGGAGAUGCUCAUCAUGAAGGUGUUCUGUUCCUGAUUUCCACUUCCAGACAUGGAAAGACCACGCUGUGUCCAGGGAAACCGGGAGCCCUAGGAAGGACCAAGGGCUGAUGUUUCGUUUAUGGUGUGGCACCGUCCUGGAUGCCGCAGGUCAUGCGAACAUCCUGCUUGAAAGUUUCAUCUCCGUUCCGCUGUGGAGCUGAUUAAAGGACUCCUCGGCCUCUUGCAAAACCUAGCACUUAUAAAUCUCUGCUGUUGGAUGCCAUAUCCAUACUGAGGUGGUGUUAAGUCAUAAGUCCCUGGGGGUCCAUAGCAUUGCUUCAGGGAGACACAGUGGCUUUUUCCCCAAAGGUUGUUUCAACAAAUGAAUAAUUUUUAGAAGAGUUACUGAGCAGGUGGAUCUCAAGGACCAGCCAGACUCAUAGUUCAAUAUAUGGUUGUACACAUACACACCUA